GGGUUUUGGUGGUGGAGGUGGACAGGCUGCGCGCCUUGGGGCUGGUCAGGAGGAGCUUGCUCACGGCGGAGAUCUUGGACUGGCUGGCCUUGGGGGAGGCCCCAGAGCUGGGGGGCGAGGUCCCAGCGCGGCCCAGGCUCCCUCCCAGCGGGGCAUGGUGCUGUCCUUGCCUGCGUGCAGCCGGGAGCUCACGGAGGACAGGCUCUCGGCCCGCUCCAGGGAGAGGCAUUCGUAGUGGCUGACCGUAGCCCUGCCCAGGGAGUUGGUUCUGCUGGCCAGCUGCUCCAGCUUGGCACUGAAGAGCUUGCUGCUGCUGCUGGCGUCCUUCGUCUUGCCGCCAGGCUCAUCUGGGAGGCCCGCCAGGAAGGCGGCUGGUUGGUUCAGGGGGCUGCUGGUGCCGCUGCUGCUGGCACUGUGCUGAGGGCUGGCCCGGUUCUUCUGGUCCAGGCUGGACUUUCGGACAGGGGGCAACGGGGGAGUCCCUUUGGGCCGAGCCAGGACACAGUGCUUGGGGGAAGCCACCUUCCUCUCAAGGGUAGCCUUGGAGGGCUGGGCGCCCGAGGCUGCACCCACCCCGUUGGUCUCGGCAGCGCAGUAGUAGAAGAGGCUGUCCAGCUCCUCCUGCCGGCUGGCCUUCUGAAACGCCCUGGGAAGGCUGCUGGACUUGACGCUUUUGUUGGGAUGCAUGGGGCUCUGGGUGGCCAAACCAGGCAGGGCCAUCUCACACCCGUCCGCGACCCUCCUGAAGUUGUCAGUGACGGCGGAGGCCGACACCUCCCCGCUGCUGCUGCUGAGCCUGUCGCCCGGGCUGGGCUUUCUGUCCUGCUCCUGCUCAGCUCUGGUCUCCGCGUUCGAGGCGCCCGUGGCAGUCUCACACCUAAUCCCUUCUUCACUGGGAUGAGCAUUCUCUUUUUUUACUUCCUCUUCUCUUUUCAGCCAGGGGUCCUCAAAUGUCAUCUCUUUCUUGCUACUGUUUUCCUUACUCUCCUGGGACUGGGCUAA
This 1002-nucleotide long non-coding RNA is filed under the name Macaca fascicularis (crab-eating macaque). RNAcentral describes it as "lncRNA (ENSMFAG00000056982.1)". Lineage: Eukaryota; Metazoa; Chordata; Mammalia; Primates; Cercopithecidae. The record is from RNAcentral.